UGAUGCCCAGUGGUCUUGGUAUCUG
Molecule: unclassified non-coding RNA, 25 nt
Filed under: Mus musculus (house mouse)
Lineage: Eukaryota; Metazoa; Chordata; Mammalia; Rodentia; Muridae
Description: oocyte_clustered_small_RNA7772
Source: RNAcentral